UGCUACUUCGCCGACAUGGAUCGGGUAGUUACAACUUCCAGCGCCGUCGGCCCCCCCAAAUUCGACCCCUAUUAUCUCCAUUUCCACCAUCAAUCUCCUCUUUUCUUGAAUUUCUUUCUCCAAUCGCGAAAUAAGACUCGUAGGCUUCACAGAAUUUUCUGCCAAAGCAACCCCAAUUCAAUUGACACAAGUACAACAGAGGUAUGCUAGUUUAUUCCCCCAAUUGAUUAUCACUUUCUUCAAUGUAAUAUCGUAAUUUGUUGUCAAAAGUGUAAUUAAGUUUUUUUCCCUUUGUAUCAAUUGAAUAUUCGACCUAUUGCCAUAAUUUCAUUUUUUGUGCAAUGAGUGGUGACUGUUUUUGAUAUAUUGGGUUGGUUGUUUCUAUGCCCAAUAGUGGUGAAUGGUGGUGGUUGUAGGAGGCGAUGGCAGCGACAAAUGGUGUGACGGUGGUCAGUAAUGGCUAUGGUCACAUGAGGAAGAGAAGAUGGAGAUGCCAAUGGGCGGGCAAGUAAGGUAGAGUUACUCAAACAGGGGUCUCUCACCUUUGACAGGCUCUUGUGACAAAGGCUACACCUCAGCCCUAUCACAUGGGCCUGUCAAAGGCCCUUGUUUGUAUAGCUCGAUUGAUAUAUGUAGCCUCUGUUUGUUGGGAUAAAAAUGAAAUUUUAAGUAGAUUUUGAUAAAAGUUAUUGAAAUGUAUGAUUAAAAAGUUGUGUCACAUUAAAUGUGUAGUUAAAAUUAGUUGUUAACUUUGAUUUAGG
Molecule: long non-coding RNA, 761 nt
Filed under: Olea europaea subsp. europaea
Lineage: Eukaryota; Viridiplantae; Streptophyta; Magnoliopsida; Lamiales; Oleaceae
Source: RNAcentral